This is a long non-coding RNA of Lycium ferocissimum, 803 nucleotides long. RefSeq lists it as uncharacterized. The transcript has 2 exons. The record is from RefSeq and is a predicted model, not a curated record. NCBI's taxonomy places the organism in Eukaryota, Viridiplantae, Streptophyta, Magnoliopsida, Solanales, Solanaceae.
AGAGAUCUUAAAAUAAGUUGAAAAUUCAAAAUGGUAAUUUAGCGUUAAUUCAGACAUCCAUUAUUUAUUUAUUUACUUUUCUAAAAUAUUUAAGUUGGUGCCUGUAAUUUUGUAGGAAGAUAUUACAUAGUUGAUGCAGGCUAUGCAAAUACAAAGGGAUUUCUAGCACCUUAUCGUGGUGUACGAUAUCAUUUGAGAGAAUGGAGCCAAACACAAGCACCACAAAAUGCUCGUGAACUCUUUAACUUGAGACAUUCAAAGCUUCGAAAUGUCGUGGAGAGGACAUUUGCUGUUUUGAAAAAAGAUUCCCUAUAUUAACGACUCCUCCUCCAUAUUCCAUCAAAAAACAAGGUUGGAUUGUGCUAUCAUGUUGUAUACUUCAUAAUUUCAUUCGUAAGUGGAACUGGGAUGAUUCAUAUUUUGAAGAACACGUGGAAGAGGAAAUAGAAGAUUCCCACAAUUUGGAUGAUAUUGAUUCAGAUUCAGAUGAAGAAGAACUUGGACGAGGACCGACAGAUGUUGACAAACAAUAUAUGUGCAAUCUAAGAGAUGGGAUAGCUCAACAGAUAUGGAAUGCUAGAGCAAUUAGGUAGAAUAGCAUAUGUUGAAAGGGAUAGAGUAGGUCAUUGUCACUUGAAGCAAGGGUAUAGCCACCAGUCUAUUUUGUAAAAUAGGUAGAUGUAAGAGGUAGAGUAAUUAAAGGCUGCAAGGUUUAUCAGUGUAAAACUUCAUUGUAUAUCCUUUUCUCUGAUGUUGGUAAUUCAGAUAUUAGUCUAUCAUAAUUGAAUAUUGGGAACUUGGGG